UUAGGUGCUCAAAUUCCUGUUUCAAUACAAUGCUUGGCGUAUCACGUUUGUCGAAUCUGGUCAGUGAUUUAUCACAUUUUGGAUAAGGUUGCCAUGGUGAGAUUUUUUUGCUGCACUCAAGGAUCAUUGAGUUAUAUUCUGAAAAGCCAUAGUGCUCAAUUUCCUGCGACAUGCGCAUACUAAAUGGCAAUACCGCUGAAGGUCUGUUCAAAAAGAGCUGUUUAUAUUGUGUGUCUUUUAUAGCAGGGGUCGCCGGGUUUUGUGGGUAGCCUCUAAUCCUUAAUGCAUACGACGUACUCAGGUAGAACCGCCGUCUUUCGAGAGACCACUCAUUGGCUUCUACAUAAAGGCUCUCGACUGGCGAGGUCCGGAACGCUCCAAGGACCAGGCGCAGUCCCAGGUGAUGUACAGGGUCCAACAUUUUCAGAGUAGAAGGUCGUGCUGACCCAUACACCACACAACCGUAAUCAAGUUUUGAAAGGACAGUGGAGACAUAGAUCCGGUGUAAUGUAUCGCGAUCUGCGCCCCAUGAUCGGUGUGAGAGUACCUUUAAAAUGUUCAAAGACUUAAUGCAUUUUUUCUUGAGAGUUUUCAGGUGGGCUGAGAAAGACAGUUUUUCGUCGAAAAUGAGACCGAGGAAUUUGUGUUCAGGUUUCACGCUUAUACUUUGGUUGCACAUAGAAAGGGUGGGCUCUGGGAACAUUCCCCGAACCUUCGAGAAACGAACACAAACUGUCUUGUCGGGAGAGAAUUUGAAGCCAUUUUCCUGAGACCAUCUAACCAGCUUAUUUAUUGUUAGCUGUAGCUGCCGUUCGCACACCGAUAAGUUAGAGGAGCAAUAAGAAAUCUGAAUAUCGUCGACGUACAAUGAAUACUUGAUUGAUGUAGGGAUAACACUUGCUAUAGAGUUCAUUUUUACGAUGAAAAGGGUCACGCUAAGUACGGACCCCUGCGGGACACCAUUUUCCUGGAUGAAUGGACGAGAUAGUGUUGUCCCAACUUGUACCCUGAAAGAUCUCCCCUGUAGGAAAUUGGUAAUACAUUGGAACAUUCUGCCACGUAUACCAAGUGCAUGCAAGUCUCGAAGGAUACCAUAUCGCCAUGCUGUAUCGUAUGCCUUCUCUAGAUCGAAGAAAACAGACAUACAGUGCUGUUUCCUGACGAAGGCUUCUCUAAUGGUAGUCUCCAAACGCAAAAGUUGGUCGACUGUUGAGCACGCAGCUCUAAAGCCACACUGAUAUUGAUCUAAACAAUUAUUUUCUUCCAGAAAAUACAUAAGACGGUUGUUGACCAUGCGCUCAAAGGUCUUCCCCAGACAACUUGUCAGCGCUAUGGGUCGGUAACUGCACGGAUGCGAGGGAUCUUUUCCUGGCUUCAGCAGUGGAACUAUGAUUGCCUCCUUCCAGCCAGAAGGGAGAACACCUUCUAGCCAGACGAAAUUAAAGAAAUCCAGGAGAGAAUUUAAUGAAGUUAACGACAGAUGUUUAAGCAUGGAGUACACUAUGCGAUCAGGUCCAGGUGCUGAGUUUUUAGGGGAUGACAGAGCCCUUUGUAGCUCCGCCAUUGAAAAAGGUGAGUUGUAACCACACCUCUCAUCUAACCCACUAUCAAGUGUUUGCCUUUCAGCAGAUGAUUUAAUCUUUAAGAAAUCUCUGCUGUAAUGGGAUGAACUUGACACUCGUUGGAAAUGUUCCCCGAGGGCAUUGGCCUGCUCCUCCAUACUUUGACACACGUUACCAUUUAUUUGUAACAGUGGUACACAGAAACUUGUAUAGUCGCCCUUUAUUUUCUUUAGUCUGUCCCAUAUUAUUUUUGAUGGAGUUGUAGCAUUUAAAGAUGAUACGAAAUUUCUCCAAGAUUCUUUCUUUGCUUGCUUUCGCGUCGAACGUGCUUUCGCUCUAGCUCUCCUGAAAGCAAUUAGGUUUGUUAUAGUGGGGUGUCUUCGAAAGACACCCCACGCUCGGUUUUGUUCUUUGCGUGUGCUUUCACAAUUGCUCGUCCACCAAGGCUUGGAGCGCUUGGGGAGUCGGCCGGAUGUUUGCGGAAUGGACUGUUGAGCGGCAUUUAUAAUGGUAUGAGUGAUCAACUUAUUUGCCUCCUCAACAUUCAAACCCUCAAAAGCAGAAGAUGGGAAAUUGGCUUGUCUUUCAAAUAUGUCCCAAUUUGCCUCUUGUAAUUUCCACCGUGGUGGACGUGUUCUUAUGUUGUUAGUGUGACCGUGAAAUUUAAUAAUGAGCGGAAAAUGGUCGCUGCCUCGGGGAUUCUGUUCGACUGUCCAGUCAAGAAGCUGAAAAAUGGAUGGGCUGCAUAGUGAGAUGUCUAUGCAAGAAAAAUUUUGUGUCGAAGAGUUCACAUAGGUAGGUAGCCCAGUAUUCAGAAGACAGAGUGACCCCGAAAGGAGGACCCUCUCCAACAUUUUCCCCCGUGCAUCUAGUUUUGCACUUCCCCACAAAGGAUUGUGGGCAUUCAGGUCGCCUAAAAUCACAAACGGCUGGGGGAGUUGAUUGCAUAGAUUUUCGAAAUCUCUUUGCUCUAUUACCACUGAUGGGGGCAGGUAGAGUGAACAUACUGUCAAAGUCCUGUCGAGGCACACUUCGACUGCUACUGCCUCCAAGUCUGUAACGAGUGGAAAGUGUUUUACAGGUAUGCACUGCGGAAGGACUACAGCCACACCACCAGAUGCACGUGCGCUGUCUGUGCGGUCCUUCCUGAAAACAUUAUGGCGACGGAAAGGGUUUGAGUUUUCUUUGUGUAGGUAUGUUUCUUGCAGGCAGAAGCAGACAGCUCGGUACUUUUCAAACAGAUCGUGUACAUCAUCAAUGUUACUGUAGAGGCCUCGACAAUUCCACUGAAGGAAUACCUGUCCCAUAAUUAGGAUGGAAAUAAGGAAGAGCAAAGGGAGUCUGCACAUUGGGCGUUAAGGGGGUGUGACCCUUGGCGGGGGAAGCCUCUGUUUCUCCCUUGACUUGCCUCUACCUCGACCUCCAGGUUUUUCUCUUUGCUCCUUCCCUUGCGAAGGAGCUCUCUGGUCCAGUGUACAUGGAAGACUUGACGAUGAUUUCUGCGACAUGCAGUCAUCAUCGUCAAGCUCCAUUGAGUGUGUGGCAGUCUGCGAUGAGCUCCCAGUGAGCCCAUCCCAAACUGAAAGCCCGCCAUCAACCUCCGUGGAGAUUGUGGAGGGAGCCUGCGGAGCCGAACUCUCCGUAGACUUUUCUUGUGUUUGGGGAGUGUGGAGUGGAGGCCCACAGGUUUGGGUCCCCACGGAUACUCUGAGCGAUGCCACUCCCCGGCGCACCGCUUCAGAGAAAGAUCCUCUUUUCUGAAACUCCAUUUGUGUCUUCGCUGCUUUGUAUGUCAGCUUCUGUACAGUUUUAAUUCUCAAGAUUUCUUUCUCGUCGCUAAAGCGUGGGCAACUUCUUGAAUAGGAUGGAUGAUUGCCUUCACAGUUGACACAACGUAAAGUGUUUUUACACGACUCUGGAGUAUGGUCAUUGCCAUCCCCCGCGCACUUGGGGCAGAUCAGGUGCCCACGGCAUACUUGGGAAUGGUGGCCAAAUCUCUGGCAUUUGAAACAUCGACGCGGGUUAGGUAUAUAGGGUCGGACAUGGCAGUUUACAUACCCAGCCUUUAUUUCUGUAGGAAGCGUGUGCAACUGAAAGGAUAAGAUGAUGUGCCUGGUUGGUAUUUCUUUGUUGUCCCUGCGGAUGGAUAUCCGUUUGGCACUGAUCACCCCUUGGUCUUUUAAGCCGUCCUCGAUCUCUGUUUCGGAGCACUGCAGUAACUCCUCGCUAGAGAUAACACCUCUGACUGUGUUGAGGGUGCGGUGUGCAGUUACUGAAACUGGAAUACUACCAAUCUGUUUUACUGACAAUAGUGCUGAGCUCUGCUGCCUGCUCUGGACCUCAAUGUGGAUGUCACCAGUUCUCAAUUUCUUUGCACUGUACACUUUACCAACUACUUGUUCUAGAGUUUUAGCGACUAGAAAGGGAGAGAUAGUAGCUAGUGGUUUUGUAUCAUCUUCAGCAUGAAUGAUCAGUAUCUUCGGGAAAUACGGUUCUGGAGAGGAAUUAAAAAACUGCAAUGUUUGCACAUCGGUGCGGUGCCUUUUGUGGCGCCGAUCAUGUUUUUUAGGGUUUGAGUUAUCCAUAAAGGAGGGAAGUUAUUCGGUGCAGAAGUGUGUCACCCACCAUGGAGCCCAACGAGGGAACGUGUCCCACACGUUAACACUGCCUCUGCACUAUACCCGAGUGCAGUUUUCUAAAGGAAGAAGUACUGCCCAAGGUUGACCCUUGCCGCCAAAGAAGGUGAAAGGGGAAAAGGAGAGAAAGAAGGAGACCAAGGAAGAGAAAGACCACCCGACUAUGGGAAGCAGGGGCCAAAGCGGCGUGUUGCUUUCCCGGAGGGGCCCCGAAGGGUCCUAACCAACCUCCGGGUCCGCUCAACCACCAGGAUCCCCCUUUCCCCAGACACGGGAAAGCCACGCACAGCUAUACGUGGGGGUCUCCCUCCUGCGGCGACCCAACCCUGAGUGCAGGAGGGGGCUACUGCGGCUGCUGCCGGGCGAUGGGGGCGCCAAGUUCCCGACGCCGGGAGGAAAUAGAAAAGGAAAAAGAACUCUGCUAUGGAGGGCGGAGCUGAGUGGAACAGUGUACGGCGGAGACCCAAUAAAGUACUACAAUUAUCCACAUGGAAAUACUACCAUCCAGCUGAUGUAUUAUCACGAGGGGGUCUGCUACGUAGGAAUUCGGAGUGGUGGCAAUUACCCAGAUACGCUCACAGAUAAAUUAAGAGGCCUCUUACUAUCUACGGCAUAUCCUAUCGAAGCUCACAGGACAGCAAAUUUGGCCAAUGC
Long non-coding RNA from Ornithodoros turicata, 4852 nucleotides. RefSeq lists it as uncharacterized. The record is from RefSeq and is a predicted model, not a curated record. Lineage: Eukaryota; Metazoa; Arthropoda; Arachnida; Ixodida; Argasidae. The transcript is spliced from 5 exons.